UACGUAGGGUGCAAGCGUUGUCCGGAAUUAUUGGGCGUAAAGGGUCCGCAGGUGGCAGUGUAAGUCUGCUGUCAAAGAAUGAGGCUUAACCUCAUCAAGGCAGUGGAAACUACACAGCUAGAGUACGGUCGGGGUAGAAGGAAUUCCUGGUGUAGCGGUGAAAUGCGUAGAGAUCAGGAAGAACACCGGUGGCGAAAGCGUUCUGCUAGACCUGUACUGACACUGAGGGGCGAAAGCUAGGGGAGCGAAUGGG
This 253-nucleotide ribosomal RNA is filed under the name uncultured bacterium. RNAcentral describes it as "partial 16S ribosomal RNA". It matches the Rfam family "Bacterial small subunit ribosomal RNA", at positions 524 to 776 of the family's 1533-position model. The record is from RNAcentral.